RNAcentral lists this long non-coding RNA (5384 nucleotides) under Sus scrofa (pig). Its description in RNAcentral is "lncRNA (ENSSSCG00000053032.1)". Lineage: Eukaryota; Metazoa; Chordata; Mammalia; Artiodactyla; Suidae. The record is from RNAcentral.
ACUCCUCAGUCUAUAUGUUAUUUAUGUAAGCCUUUCUCUAGAUUAUGUCCUUCUCACUUGGCAUACUGGUUUCUUAUACUCUCAUGGCCUCAACUACCAUUUGGAUACUGAUUAUUCCCAAAUCUAUCACCAUAUUUCAGAUCACUCCUCUCAUUUCCAGAUCUCUACUAUCUUUCUAUCCAAUAGACAUAUAGGUUAGAAUAUUCAUGAAUACUUCAAAAUUAACAUGUCAAAUAUCUAAACCCAUGGUGCAUGCACUCAACCUUAAUCUAUUACUCCAUCUGUCUUAUUCUAUCACAGCAAUGGUAGAUGAAUAUGUAGUUACCAAAAGUAAAAACUGAAAGAAGUUUUUGAACCUUAUCCCUUUCUCUUCCUACUUAAAAGUUGUCACCACUUACUAUCAAUUCUACUUCCAAGAUCUUUCUCAAAAUCUACCCUUUCUUUGCCAUCCCAAUGGACAGUUCCUUAUAUCAGGCUGUCAUCACCUAUCAUAAAGAAUUCUAAAUUAUACCUAACCACUAUGCUUGCAUCUCAUCAUAUUUUUAUUAUCUCUUCAUAAGUCUGCCUUCCCAACUAGACUUGAGCAUAUUUACACUUUAGAACCUGGCACAGUAGGUACUCAAACCAGGUUAGCUUAAUUGAAUGGAUGAAUAGAAGAAUGCAUGAAUGAAGCUCACUUUGUGUUUUUCUCAAAUUUUACACACACACACACACACACACACACGUAUAUGAUUUGUUAAUAUGUAUGCAAUAUGUUAUGCUGUUAACAAACUGUAAGCAAGGACAACAUCUUAAAAAUUUUUAUCCUUAACACAGAAUGACCUCAAUAAUUUCUCAAGGACUGAUGAAUAAUCUCAGUAUUCAAAGCAUCUUUUAAAGAGACUCACAUCACCCUUUUAAAAAAAACUUUCCCUCUCUCUCUCUCUCUCCUUUGUGUGUGUGUAUGUGUGUGAGUGUGUGUGUGUAUAAAUAGCCAAAGUGUAUUGGUUUCUUCACUUUGGCUAUUUGUCUACUUUGAGGGAAUGGAAUCAGCCUGUUUGAAAAAAAGAAAAUUACUAGUCAGUUCCAUCAAAGAGUCUGAGGAGUUUUUGUUUGUUUUGUAAUGUUUUAACAAAAUAUCCUGAUUUGAUCAAAUCAACCAGUUACAUCAGUACUGUGUAGAGAGAGUAAAAUAGAAUUUUGCUAGAUUUCUAUUUCUUUAAAAAUUUUUCCCAAUAUUUCCAAAGUCUGCCUUGCAUGUAAUCAGUGGGAUAUGAAGAAUUUUUCAAUAAAAACCAUUCAAGUCUUAAUUACUGAAUUUUAUGAUAACUUAAAGAAUUGUUCAUUUAACUCCCCUUUUGCACUGUCUACGCAGAAAAGGUUUGGAAAAUGGUAAUGAAAACUGUUGAAGGAUAGUGAACUGCUUGUAGAAAUGAAUGCUUCUAAGGACAUUAGCAAAAUCAUCUUGAAUACAGACAAUGAGUCAGUUACAAAUUACCCCUAUCUAUUAAUUAAAAUCAAGCUCAUUAAGUGUUCUACUAGACUAUGCUUUAUGGAGUAUUAUUUAAAUUAGUUUAGAGCAAUAACAUUUAUAUAAAUAAAAUAAAUUCUAAAUACUAAAGACAUUUGAGCAAUUCAGACUGGCCAUCUCUCUAAUGAGUCUGACUUAACAAUGCUUUACAGUGUCUGAAGGAAGGUAAUUUUGAGGAAAUAGUGUUCCUUAUUGAUUUUGUACACUACAAGUUUUUAUCUUCAGAACACUUGAGUCCUAUCUAUAUAGAUAUGUGUAUACACUUACUUUUGUUGAAAUACUCAGACAUUUGUACUUAAUCUAUUUCCAAUUUAGUCUCCAUCAUUUAUACCAGAGGGACAAAUCUUUGACUGCUAUUCCUUUUGUUCAUGGGAUUCUUUUUAUUAGUGUGUAGUAAUUGAUUUACAUGAAAGUUCCCAUUUUCUUCAGCUCAUUUGCAAAUAUAUCUCUCUUAGGUUGUUUUCUUGUUUUUUGGUUUUUGGUUUUUAGGGCCACACCUGCAGCAUAUGGAAGUUCCCAGGCUAGGAGUCAAAUUGAAGCUGCAGCUGCUGGUCUACACCACAGCCACAGCAAUGCCAGAUCUGAAUUGCAUCUGCAACCUACACUACAGCUCACAGCAACACCGGAUCUGAGCUGCAUAUGCAACCUACACUGUAGCUGGUGUUAAUGCCAGAUCCUUAACCCACUGAUCGAGGCCAGGGAUGGAGCCUGCAUCCUCACAGAGACAAUGCCAGGUCCUUAACCUGCUGAGCUACAUCAGGAACUCCUCCUCUCUCAUAGUUAGACAAAAGAGACAGACUGUGCCCUGGGCAGUUAACGUAUUCAGUUAUUCUAAAAUGAGGUGAAACUCUUGCAUUGGAGGGAACUCUUUCUCUAGUUCGAGUUCCAUUUUAGAAGGGUCAGUUCUGUCUGCAUUUGCACAUGGAUUCACAGGAAAAUCAUUACUGGACACCAACCAGAUGAAGUUGUUUUGCAUAUUGCCUGUAAGUCACAUCAGCACAUUCUGUGGACAGUAGAAGACUUUCUGCCAGUGUUUGCUUAUCCAAUUUGAUCUUGGGAGAUUUCUGGCACAUUGAAAGUGACAUUUAUUUAAGUGUUCGAUUUAUAUUAUAUUUUUCUGACCAAAAGCUCAAGGCACCAAGUUCAGUGGCGUGAUGCCCACUCUACAACUGGUCUCAGGAUAAUCACAAUGACACGUUCCACAGAGCUAUCAAAUUGGAAUUCCUGACUUUGCAGCUAAGGGUGCUAACCCUGGAAAGUCUAUGAAUUUUAAAGGGGCUCAGUUCCAAAAUUUAAUCAACAUAAUACAACUUGACAAAACAGAAGCAUUGAAAGGCUAGAACUCUGUGCUUUGUUGCCGCCUGGCUUAGCUUCUUGGUUGUGCAUUUUGCUCAGAUAAGCAUGUCUAGAAAGAGCUUACUCUUGAAAGGAAAGCAAUCUUGCGUGGACUCUGGCAAAAACAAGCCAAGGUAAAAUGAAUUAUAUGCUACGGCAUAUAAGCUUACACUAAGUCACGUAAAUUAUAAGGUGAUACACGAAGAGGCAGUGAGGAACCUAUAAUAAAAUCUUGGGGACAAUAAGGCAGUCAAGAUAGAAAGAGAAAGAAUAACAUAGUGAAGUCUCUGUUUACACAUUAAUAAAUGUGCUGAAGAAUUUUCAGCUACUGGACAGUCAGGAAGUCACAGGCUGUAUAGCAUGUGGUCUAAAUUGCCAUGAUUUGGGCAGACAAAGUACUCCACAAAAUAAGAAACUUAAAUCAACCAACAUAACUGUAGUUUAAAAAUAAUAAUAAAAUAAACCUGUGUGACAGAUGUUAAAAGAACACUUAUCCAAAACGCAUACUGGUUUAGGAAGGAUAAAAUUACGGAGGAAAUUUCAGGAAAAAAUAUGCAUUUCUGGAAAGUUUCUAGAAUAUCAACUGAUUCAAAAAUCACAUAGCUCUUAAAACCCAAAACUUCAAAGACAAAACGAUAAAAAUACAUCCACCAGGACCGUUCUGAAAUAGGGGGAAAGAUGUGGCAUUAUCACCAGUGGACUUUGUUUCAUCUAUUAUUUUCUCCAGGGUUCAACUCAGUUUACGAAAACACAGAUAUAUGUUACACACUUGGAAAAUCCUAUUGCUGUAAGUAUUUCUAUUACCCAGAUGUCAUACUUUCUAAUUAGUCUACUUAAAAAUAUCCGUGGGACAAUAACAAGAAAUAAGUUUAGUAGGGAGUUAUACUGAGGUGUAUUCAAAUAAUGGCAUUUGACAUCAGCCAGGUUACGUAAUCUCCCUGAAAAUAGUUUGCUCAUCAGUAGAGUAGAGGUAAUAGCACCUACAUCAACAGGUUAGUGUGAGAAUUAGGUGAGAUAAUCCCCAUAAAGAGUGUAGCAGUUUCUGGCACUCCCCAGAUUCUUUACACGGUUUCAUUUUAAUAAGAUAGGUACCUCAAAGGAAUUCUGGGCUUAAGUGUUUCUCCAGCUACAUAACUGCAUUUUUCAUUCCUACAGUGAAUGCCUGUGAGACAGAGUUCAGCACCUUUGACACAUCACACGUGGCCUUUGACAACAGUAUGUCCAUUUUGUUAAGAGUGCAGGCCCUGGCAUCAGAUCACCAGGUUUCAAGCCUAUGACUUACUAGCUGUGUGACCUGUACAAAGUGGUCUUGCUUAGCCUCACCUUCUUCAUUUGCAGUAUUAGGUUAAUAACAGCCCCUCCAUCACUGGGCUGUUAAGAGGAUUAAAUGAAAUUCUGUGUGUAAAGCACCUAACACACUUUCAGCCACGUAGCACUCAGUCUGUGGCAGGUAUGUAGUGAUUACUAUUAUUACUAAUUAUAUUAUGACUUGACGCUUAUCAUGUGCAGUGCUAUACUAGGUGGGUAUAUAAAAGGAGUGAGAGCUGCUUUUUUUUUUUUUUUUUGGCUACAGACAUCUGCACUGGGCACUGGUUUAGGUACUGGGGAUUUGGUGGAAGGCAAAACAGACAAAACUCCUACCUUAAAAAAAGCUUGUGUUGGAGUUCUUUUGUAGUGCAACAGGUUAAGGAUCUGGCAGCAGCUGGGAUUGCUGCUGUAUUGUUGGUUUGAUCCCUGGCCCGGGAACUUCUGCAUGCCACUGGCUUGACCAAUGACAUUUAAAAUGCAGUGCAGUGAGUGCAAUGACAAGUCAGAACAUGAGGAGGAGGAAAAUGAAGAGAAGGGCACUGAACCCAGUAUUGUGGGAGGAAAGUGAAGGAAAGGUUCCUGGUGGUGGCCAUGUCUAUGCUGAGCUUUGCAGGAUUUAUUGAUUUAACAAAUUCUUACAUAAUGCCAGCUACAUGCCAGGGAACUGUUCUAAACCCUUUACAGAUGAGCUAUUGGUCUUUUAAUUUCAUUGAGGUAAAUGACUUGUAAUAAGUGGGGAGAGUGAAGCACAGAUGGCUUAAGCAACUUGUCCAAAGUCACAUAGCCAGAAAGUGGUUCUAUAGCCCUGGCUCUUAAUGGCAACGUUCUAUGCUGCUUCUUCCUCUGGUAUGUUGGGGUGAACUGGGGGCCAAGGAAUAGAAUUCAGGAGAUGCAGUCAGUGGUCCUUGAAAGCUUGCAGACUCUUGACCUUAGCAAAGCAAUGAAAAAGAUCUGAAGGAAGAUCAGAAAAGAAAAUGGAGGAGUUCCCAUCGUGGCGCAGUGGUUAAUGAAUCCGACUAGGAACCAUGAGGUUGCGGGUUCGAUCCCUGCCCUUGCUCAGUGGGUUAGCGAUCCGGCGUUGCCGUGAGCUGUGGUGUAGGUUGCAGACGCGGCUCGGAUCCCGCGUUGCUGUGGCUCUGGUGUAGGCUGGUGGCUACAGCUCCGAUUGGACCCCUAGCCUGGGAAUCUCCAUAUGCCGCGGGAGCGGCCCAAGACCAAGAAAUAGCAAAAA